Molecule: transfer RNA, 71 nt
Filed under: Stegodyphus mimosarum
Lineage: Eukaryota; Metazoa; Arthropoda; Arachnida; Araneae; Eresidae
Rfam family: tRNA
About the family: Transfer RNA (tRNA) molecules are approximately 80 nucleotides in length. Their secondary structure includes four short double-helical elements and three loops (D, anti-codon, and T loops). Further hydrogen bonds mediate the characteristic L-shaped molecular structure. tRNAs have two regions of fundamental functional importance: the anti-codon, which is responsible for specific mRNA codon recognition, and the 3' end, to which the tRNAs corresponding amino acid is attached (by aminoacyl-tRNA synthetases). tRNAs cope with the degeneracy of the genetic code in two manners: having more than one tRNA (with a specific anti-codon) for a particular amino acid; and 'wobble' base-pairing, i.e. permitting non-standard base-pairing at the 3rd anti-codon position.
Source: Rfam by way of RNAcentral
GCCUUCGUGGCGUAAUGAUAGCACACUCGGCCCGUAUUCGAAAGGUUCAGGUUCGAGUCCUGGCGAAGGCA